This is a long non-coding RNA of Trachemys scripta elegans, 8101 nucleotides long. RefSeq lists it as uncharacterized. The transcript is spliced from 3 exons. The record is from RefSeq and is a predicted model, not a curated record. Lineage: Eukaryota; Metazoa; Chordata; Testudines; Emydidae.
CUCCUUCAGAAUGGCUGCACAGAAACCAAGAAUUCUCUUUCUAGAACACUUUUCCUUUUUAACAUUUUCACAAAGUUUAACUGCUUAAUUCCCUCCAGCCUCUGCAGAGUUAACUUUUCACCCUCUUUCCUUAAAUCACUUGCUCAUCUCCCAAAAGACACCUUAAUCAACUCAGAUUUCACCAUUCCAAGUAUUGUUUCAGGGAUCUGAUUUCCCCAUGUCUGCACUUACUCCUUUUCUUACUUCUGCUUGUCUGGGCCUGAUCCUGCUUUCCUUGCAGAACCGUCCCUUUCCCUGGGCACAGGCUUUGUUCCAUUACCAAUUUAGCAAGGAGGGUGGGCUCCUCAACUAGACCCCACCCCUCCUGGUUUCUUUCCUUAAGCAUUUCUUUUAGAAUUGUGAAAUCAUCACAAUAUCACUCACAAAAAAUACUACACUGCCCAAACUCCUAUAUCCUUCAAAGUUUGGUUUAACAGAGCAAGACUUGUUUACAAAUCUCUUGAACAAGGUAUCAUCUUUGGAUUGCUUCCUUUUAAAUAUUUCUUACACAGGUGCUACCACUCUUUGCCCACACUCCUAUAUCCUUCAGAGUUGGGUCUCACAUAGAAAAUACCACCUGAACAUAUUUCUUACUCCUGUUGCUCGAGCCAGUGCCGGAGCUUCCAACUUAACCCUCUCUGGGCCAGAGGGAGAGACACUAAGCCUCCCUCUGUAUCACUCGGCCUACUACCACUGAGGGUUCAUACACCAAAUAUAAAAAUCCUUCCCAGGAUCAGAGCGAGGAACGCCAAGUUCUCUUCUCAAGCUCAGCCUUGCUACGGCUGAGGAUGUAUGCACCUAGGAUUUUUCGGCUUGGAGCGAGGAUCUAAGUCCUCCUCCUAUUACCCGACCUUACUACGACCGGGGGUAUACCCACCUCCAAUUAUUUCCUCCCAGCAGUCCGGGGUGGAGAGAGGGAUGCUAAACUACUCCCCUUUUUCUCAGCCCUGCUACGACCAAGGGUGUGAAUACCUUUUAAUCAUAAAGGGACAAUAGGAUCACAUGGAGGCUGCUCCAGGGGACGAUUGCGGGGCAGAGGAGAUAAUAGGGCAAGAGGCAGGCUGUACCCAGAGAUACCCAGAGUGCAAGUACCUGAUAUGGGGAAACAAUCGGACGAUCUGAGUAGACUUGGGUCCAACAUGCGCAGAAUAAUACGGAAAGUGCUAAUUCAGAUGGGAGAAGACAGAGAAAAAUGGGACCGGGCACCCACCGCUGACAUUGUAAAAGAGGUUCUUAGAUUACAAGCCCAACAGCGAAAAGACGUAUCCGGAGUAGUGGUUCCAAACACUCCUCCUCCUCCUCCCCCUCCAAUGGAGGAAAACCAGGAAUACUUUAGGGAAGCCCGCUGGAUGCAGAAUCUCCACCUGAUAUAGGAGCUCAGCAGUGGAGAUUCAUAGGAAAACUGACCUGGGAUCCAGGUGAAAGACCCCACCUUUACGUUCAGCAGGGAAAUCAAGCUCCUAUCCUAGCUUUAAAUUGACACUGGAGCUGCGGUCUCACUAAUUAAAGUGACCCCUCAAAAAGGAAUCAAGGGGCAGGCGGUGACCUUACAAUCAUUUCAAGGAAAGCCUAGUACCGGGCAAGAAUGGAUUCAAGUUCCAUUUAUGGUACAAGGCCUCCCCUUCUCAGUAUCAUGUUUCAAUACAUCAGGAGGCCUGAUGCAAACAAAAUACAUGACCAAUUAAGUGAUUCUAGGCACGGAUUGGCUGUUUAAAAAUAACAUUAUAAUUGAUUUACCCCGAGACAUUUUAUGGAGAUUAGAGAACCUCCCCCCAUACUUGCCAACUGAAAAUCAUUGCAGUAUUGUGGCCAGAGGGAGAAAUAAAAUUAUCGCAGCUCUCACGGCUGAACAGAGGGAGGAAUGGUAUUUGAAAUUCCCCACGGUCUGGGACAAGAAAAAAACAAAUUGUGGGAAAAUAAAUGCCUGUGUUAAGAUUGUAGGUGAAUUAGUAGCACCCGAAAAACAAUAUAGAUACCCCAGGGAAGCCAAAGAACAGCUGGUCCAAAUCAUUGAGGACCUCGAGGAACAGCGGGUUGUCAGAAAAACUAAUUCCAUUUUCAAUUCCCCUGUGUGGCCAGUCAGGAAAGCCGAUGGGCCAUCUUGGCGUUUAACCAUUGAUUACAGAAGAGUCAAUCAAUAAAGGGAGUGUGCCCAUGGCCCCCAUUGUGGCAGACAUGACACAAGUCAUACAAAAGGUUCAAGCCACCUCCAGGUAUUUCUCAGUGAUAGACUUGGCCAACUAUUUCUUUGCAAUACCCUUGCACCCGGAUUCACAGGACCGGUUCGCUUUCACCAUAAGGGACCAGCAAUACCCGUUCCGACGCUUACCACAAGGAUUCCAGCAUUCUCCAGCCACCGCACACCAUCAUGUGGGACUCCGAGACGCAGUUGCAGAGACUCACGGGAGAUGUCCUUGCUUUAAUCCAAGACACCGGAUUUAAGCGGAUGUGACUCUGGAUCCAGAAACAGCUCAUCCUACAAUAGCGGCAUCUGAGGAUGGGAGAAGUGCAAGAAAAUCUCCACUCAGGCUGUGCCCGACAGUCCCAAGAGAUUUGAGACUCUUUUAGCUGUGCUGGGCUCUGAGGGAUUCGACUCAGGCUAGCAUUGCUGGGAGACAGAGGUGGGGCUGGGGGAAGACUGGGCUGUGAGGAUCACCACAGAGUCUGUGCAAAAGAAGGGAACAUUGGCCUUUCAGUCUCACCAUGGACUCUGGAGUGUGUGGAUGAAGGAGAACAAGGCUCAGCCAUCCUAUUGGGCCCUGGCGGCUGCGAUCCCGGCCCCAGAGGACACAAUACCAGCCACGAUGGGGGAUCCAGCUGUAAUGCCGACUGAGAUACUGGUACCCACAUCCCAGAGCAAGACAGCCAUAAAGAUCAGAGUUUGUCUGGAAUAUGAAAGGGGGAUGGUGACAUUUUACAGAUCUGAUAUCAUGGCUCCUCCCUUCACUUACUGUAUCACCUUCACAGAGAAAAUCUUUUGGCUGUGGUCUGCAGGAGCAUGGGUCAGAUUGUGUCCCUUAGUUAUAAAAUAGUUAUAGCAUCUGUGACAGAUAGGGGAAUUUCCUGCAGUAUCCUUGAAAAAAAUCUUACUGAUUUGCGUUUAAGUAUCUUUGGAGUCCAUUGUAUUAAACCUCUCGUGGAGCGAGGUGGGAUUUACAGCCUGGAAAACCCCACCAUGGAAGAUGCUAGUCUCUGCCUAAGAGAGGUGUCUGCUGAGGAGCCGGGAUCCUACAGUGGGUGCCCUUGUUGGACCACAGAGGGGAAAUACAGGAGCAAUUGCUCUGAACUGUGAAAGCAUCUGUAUUUCAACUCCCCGUACCAAAGUGCAUCAGCCUUGAACUGUCCCCAGUGACUGGGUAUCUUGGGGGUAGGAAUAGAGGAGUAUAAUCUAAGGAGGCUUUUUAAUCCUUUGGAAAUUUUUGAGCACACUUGGCAGCUGAUUAUUUUUAGAGAAGAGAAAGAAGGUGCUAUUGUGGAAAAUCUGAAAAGGUUUCCAGCAUUGGAGAAAAAUUGAUCAUUUUCAGCUAUGUUAAUGACAAGUCAAAGUAGAGGAAAGCGAUGUCACAUGGCUAAGCUCUACCCUGCUGAGCAGUCUGUGUUGCUGAGCUGACCAUCUCUUUUGUGCACAAUUUUGAACUGCAACAUUUAACAAGAUUAAGCUUAUUAAAUGUUGAAGUUCAAACUGGAUACAAAUAGAGCUGAUGGUAAAACUGAAGAAAGAAUUUCACAACAUUCUGAAAGGUCCUUUCUGGCCUUCAGUGGGUCGUAGAAUGGCUCCAGGCAGAGGUGCUAGGAACCCUGAGAUGUACCCCCAUAAACUCUAGCGCUGAACACUACUAUGGUGCAUGCUUGGCUCUGCAGUGUGGGUGCUAGCAGGCAGGCUUGUACAGCAUGGGUACACUCUACAGUCUUCACAUACCGAAAGAGGCUACAGGCAUGUCUACAUGCAGAGUUACAGCCGUUUAACUUAAGGCAUGAUUUUAUCCUGACUUACUUAAACCAGGGCAAAAGAGUGUGUGGACGCUUAUUUCAAUUUAGCUUUAAAAUUUUCUUAAGCUAAACUGAAAUAAGUCUGAUGCAAACCAAAAUAAACUGCUGUGACAUGGUCAGGCCAGAUGGCUACAGGAGAGUGAUCCUACUGGGAUCCAGGAAGUGAGCAGGCGGAAGCCCCCUCCCCCGCCUAAGGUGAGGAUCCACAGGACCUGGAAGCCAAAUGAUUCCGGGGGACAACUAAUUAAACAACAGGGACAGAAGUGAGGUCAAAGGGUCAAACGAAGGGAACCUGAUGGGGACACCGAGCAGAAAACCCCCGACAGCUCCUCCUCCUCGAAGGCGUCAAAGGAGCCAGCGGACGCCGCCAGGAGAACUCUGCCCAGAUGUGUGAACGGACAGAGGAUCGGAAAUAGGCCCCACAGUCACAGGAGACCCCAUUGGCUACAGGAGAGUGAUAGAAGGUAAAUACAUUAGCCCCAGAUUAAGCCGGUCCCUUUUCUCUGAGUAAGAUAAUGGGCUGUUCCAGAACAAUCAGGAAGUUUCUGGAACCAAUUAAGGCAGGCAGCUCAGGAUCUGCCCUCAGAGCCGCGUCCAGUAGUGGAGCGACCAAGGGUGCGAGUGCUGACGUUGGCACUGGUGACUCCGGCAGUGAGGGGAGAGCCGUUGAGUCCGGUGCAUGUGGGCUCCCCGCCUCAUAGCGUGGUCGAGCCCCAGUUGCCAUAGACUCCGGAUACAUUUGCGGCUGCAAGGGAUCUUAUCGCAAUGACGGAGUCGACAUCCCCGCAGCAGACCGCGGCACCAGUUCCUGUUUGUGGGGAACCAUCCCGGGGCAAGCCAUCCCUGAUCCAACCAUCAACUCCACUGGGGGAACUGUGGCACUGGUCACAUUCCCGGAUCUGUUCCCGCUCUUGAUGCUGCUCGCAGUCCCGACAUCGCUCUCUCUCACAGUGCCGGUCAUACUCGCAGCACCGAUCCGGCUCAUGGCGUCGAUCCGACUCCCGGCACCCCUCCAUACACCGGUCACCGACCAGGAGCAGAUCUCGGUGCCGCUCUGGGAGACGGUCAUCGUCGCAGUCGAGGUCCAGAUCUAGGCACCAGUCUAGGUCCCGGCAACGUUCCCCAGCUUUGAGGCAAUGCUUCCUGCAUUCGUGGCACCGACCCACAGCUGCUCGGUACCCGUCUCCGUCACAUCGGGGUGACUCGGCACAGACUCGCUUGGCGCCACCAUGGCCUUCGCGGUCUGCAUCGUGUUUGUUGGAGUCCAACGUUGAGAUCACGCCACUCGGGCCAUGUCACAGCCUAGUCUAACAGUGGAGCUGCUCACUGGCAGCAGGGGGGCCACGGUCCUGUCCAGGGGUCCACCCAGUGACCCUUUUGGACACCGUGGGCAUACCACCAGGCCCAGAGUGCCCCAUCCGGGGCUUCCCGCUCAGUUCUCAGAGCCUCGAGUGCCAGAGGCCACCAUCAGCCACCCUUCUCCUGGGGGCAUGGAAACUGUAGCUCCCCAUGCUUCCUCAUCUCCAGCCCAGGGUCCAGUCUCCGAGGUAGCAGACCCUGACCAGGGAGACCCGGCCCAACAGGAGGCCCCACUCGACCCUCUUGGUCCUGUGGCUUCCUCCUCAUCCUCACCAGACGAGGCGGUGGCGGGAGCAAACGUCUCAGGUCCCCCUCCAAUAGACCUCUGUGCCCACCAGGACAUCCUGCAUAGGGGGCCCCUAUCAUGAACCUCCAAGCGGAGGAGGUUGUAGAGAUGCAGGACCCAGUGGUGGAUAUUUUGUAGGCUGUGGCCCCGUCUCGAGUGGCUUUACCACUCAUCCGCACUAUACAGACCACAGCCAGAACAAUCUGGCAAACGCCUGUGUUAUACCAAUAGAAUAAAAACCAGCAGGAUCUUAUUAAGAGGGAUAAGGCAAAGAUGCCACAUUUAUUGUAAAUAUAAUGAUAAAGCAAAAGAUAAAAGUAAUAUCCCUACACCUGCAUCCAUUCGUCCAACGGCUAAAGGGGUGUAGCGUAAAUACUUUGUCCCCUCCAAGGGUUAAGAUUACUUGUACACCCAUCCACAGCCCUGUUUGCUGCUAGUGGCCUCAGUGAACGAGAAGGAGUGGCAUGGCCAGCAAGCGCUGGCGCCCAAGUUGAAAGAGGCCAAACGUCUCAAUUUGUUCGAGUGCAUGGUCUAUUCAGCAGGCGGGCUACAGCUCAGAAUUGCAAAUCAGCAGGCACUCCUGAGCCACUAUAACUAUAACUCCUGGAACUCCAUGCUAAAAUUCAAGGAGCUGGUGCCUCCGGAGUCCAGAGAAGAGUUUGGGGCCCUGGUAGAGGAGGCAAAAAGGUGGUAAGGACCUCCUUGCACGCCUCACUGGAUGCUGCGGACUCCGCUGUUCGGACACUCAUCGGGAAUAGCUAUGCAGCGUAUAUCUUGGCUGCAGGCUUCCGGCUUACUACUGGAGCUGCAACAAACUCUACAAGACCUUCCUUUCGAGGGUGAAGGCCUCAAAUACCACUGAAAUUCAAUAGGAUUUAGGAAUGUAACUCAGGCUCCUUUGAAAAUCCUCCUUUCUUAUUUCUUUAUAAAGCAUAGAUGGUGCCUCUUUCAUAUACUGUGCUGCCCAACAUUAGAAUAUAGCAACUGUCUGACAAGAGACAAGUCAGUUGUAACAUAGAACAGACGUAGGUCAUUGGGAUUUGUUGGGUACUUUUGAAAAGCAGACAGGGGCCUAAAAGCGGGUUUAAGAGCCUAUUUUUAGACUCCUAUUUUUGCAAAAUCUUGGCCUCAAUGGUUAUUGUAAAACAGUGAUUUUCAACCUUUUUUGCAUUUGUGGACCCCUACAAAAUUGCAAAUGGAGCUGCAGACUCCUUUGGAAAUCUUAGACAUAGUCUGUGGACUCCCAGGGGUCUGUGGACCACAGGUUGAAAACCACUGUUGUAACAAAAAUAUCUACUUUUUUAAAAAAGGAAUUAAGAUAUGAACUUCUAUCAAUUUCAUUGAAAAAGCAUCCUGGGAGAAAACUUCCUGGAACUGAAGUGAGAUUGUAGGAAGAGGGCAGAGAGGAGGUCAGUGCUAGACUAUUAAUGAUUGGGAAUGAUUUUCAAAAGCACAAAUGGCAAUUAAUUGCCUAAUUCCCAUUUGUCCUUUGAAAAUCUCACUCCUUACUUAUUAUCCUCAAAGCAUCCAAACAUAGUAUAAGACACUUCCCUGCUCCCUAGAGCUUACAUACUAUCCAAUCAUACUCCCUUUGAAAGCAAUUGGUAAAACACCCAUCGAUUUCAUUGGUACAAGAUUGGGCCCCAAAUGGAUAAUGCAGGCAAAGGAGAAGAGGAAGGAAGAAAAUAGUAAGCAAGGGAAUCGAGGUGGAGCAAGCAGGACUGCACAAGAAUGAGUUAUUGGGAGUGCUUGACUUUUUUUUAAACAUGAUUAAUUUUGUUAAUCAUUUAUAGGCAAGAAGGUCAUUGUGUGAGUUUGUGGGGGAAAUUGGGUUUUGAGGAGGGAUAUGAAAGAGGAAUAGAAGGAAAGUGCGUCCUCUCUAAAGGAUCAGAGAGGAGAUUCCAGGUAUAGGAGACAGACUAGAAGAAGGUGACAUUAGUGAGAAAAAGGGACAUGGAGAGAGGUGUAAUUAGAUUAAAUUUGGUGCUUCUGUUUGCUUACCAGGAGGACAUUGCAUCUACACACAUUUAUUUCAAUAAUUACAUAGCUUAAUUUACAUUUAUUCAGAUUCUUAAUUUUUCCAUUAUUAUGUUAGAAAAUGUGAAUGCAUUUCUUAUUUACUAGAAGAUUGAUUUUUUAUUUCUGAUUUGCGUCAAACUCAAUUUCAAUAGAAAUUCAAAUUCAAUUAAAAUGCACAAAAAUAGCUUUAAUUCAAUAAAAUUAUCUUAAAUGUGUUGGAUAUAUAAGAAAGAAGUUUAUCAAAACGUAUUUUACAUUUAAAAUGAAUUUAUUAAACAAAGGAUAUACCUGCAGCUAGUAAAUUGAAGGGAAUAUUUCUGGUCACUAGAUCUUUCAACAAUUUAGGACAAAUAGAUUUCAUCCUUUCAUGAUGAGUUUUUAUUCAAAGAUUGGGAGACGAAAACAAGC